AGUUCCUAGCCCCUGAUACGAUACAUAUUUAUGGUAAGAUAGGUAGGUAUUGCGAACGAGCACGGAGCUCGAUUAGCAAAGUUGCAGAGAACGGUCAAGUCUACUUAGGUUUGAUUCUCGGAUAUCGCACAUCUAUAUCUGGCCUGUAAAGAAGGUCCCGGGUAAGGAGACCCAGUUCCUUCAAAAAAUGAUAGGUAGGUACAACUAAAACAAACGAACUAUGCAGCUCGCUGCCAAAACAUGUAACCUCAACGACGCAGACGAAUGGGGCCCGACGUAGAAAGGAAUAAACAUGGAGUCAUAACUAACUGUCAUUUGACGGUGUGAAGAUAAUGUUCCCGUGUGUGAGUAAGUCAGCAGAUGCUUCAAUUGAUCCGCGGAUGUUUAGUGAAAUAACAACAAAACCAGUAAAUUUUCUGUACAUCUAGCAUCGUUGUAUAUUCUUAAACUGCAUGUUGCUUAGAUAUUUGUCACAAAUUUGCUAUCAAGUUUAGAAAUCAAAUCUGACCAGACGAAUAUGAGAUGACGUUUCAUCGCGCAGUCCUUUGUGUGAAGAUCAUGACAAGUCAGGCUUCGCUUGUUUGGAUGCAUGUUGCGCCCCCAAAACCGGCUCCUGCCUUUUGCUCCUUUCGAAAUCUGAAGCUUUGCGUACUUGAAUAGCUGCAGAUGGUUUUUGAUGGAGAUUUGGUGCAUGCAUUCGAUUUCUGUAGGUCGAGGAAAAUUGGACCAACAGAGGCAGCCAGAACAUCUCUAAAAAGAGGGGGGAAACAGAUGGAGGGAAAGCUUCAGAAUCUUCUCUGUUAGAAUAUGCCAAGGAACAAUAUAUUAAAAAGUUGGAGGAAAAAAAAACAAGUAGGAGAAGGCAAACGGCAUUACAAACUCACUAAAAAAAGGAAUAAGAAAUUGCAAUAUCUUGCAGCAAAUAGAUCAUCGUGCUCCUUCAACAGAUUUUUAUGAAAAUAUCUGCCAAAUACAAUCACUUCAACCAUAGUUGUGUUGACCACAUCAAAAUCUUUGCAGAAUUGGAAUGAUGUAUAAUCAAAACAUGUAUUGCCUGCCUCAGGUUUAGUAUCAUGCAAUAGUGUAUGAAAUAGAUAUUCACUUGGACAACAGACUCCUUUUCAAAUCUUACAACAAAUUUACAUGGCACAACACGGACUACAAAUGGUGAAUGCAUACUCGCUACCGUUAUAAUGUGGUAAAAACACUAACAAUUUACAUGACACAACAUGGGCUACAAAUGGUAUCCCUCCCUCCCUUGUGGACCAAACACAUAGAAGCGACCGUACGGCUCCUUUUUUGUUUGAUCGCAAAAGUGGACUCGGGUGCAAAAAGAAGUGACAGGGGACGUGCUGGCUGGCGCACACCACCUCGCCUUCUCCACCUCACCGCCACUCCACUCCUCCCCUCCCUGGCUCCCUCCCUCCCUUUGAGUCUCCGGAGGCCGCGUCUCCUCGGCGACAUCACCGCCACGUCGGUCGCCCCCUCCCUCCCCGCCCCUCUCUGCUUAUUCUUCUAUGUUAUUUCUAUUUGGCUUUCUUCCCUCCGUCCACGAUCGCGGCGCGCAACUCCGGGAAGGGCAUGCAGGUUUCGUUCCUUCUAAGACGCCAUCGGCGCGAUCCCUGCCCGCCUUGCGGUUCACGAAAGAUCAGCGUGCUCCUUUCUUGCGUGUGCGGCUGUGGGGCUGUUGGUUUUGGUCGAUUCGCUUGGUGUGUUUCUAUUUUUGGUAACUCCCAGUUCGUCGAACCACAUUUGGUGUUGCCCAGUGGGGUUCUUGCAAUGUGGGUUUUGGGUAGGACACUUACUCACAUGACAUAGGGGGCCUUUAGUUGCUCACAUGCCUGCAUCUCAGCUAGGUUGAGUGCAUGCAGUAAUAAUUUAUUUAGUUGGUUGCAUGUGUUUAGCCUAGCUAAGAAAAUAUUAUAUUUAGUUGUCUGUAUAUAUAUAUAUGUUGUAUGAGAUUAAAAUAAAAAAGCAAGUGUUAACAUGAUGUUUAUUUUGCAUAAAUACACUCUAUAGUACUUAAUUUAUCCUAUUAAGUCUUAAUCUAAUUUGAAAUGUAGUAGUAUGAGUUAAUACUCACUAAUUAUACGGUAAUACCAUUAUUAGUUGAGUCAGGCCUACAUCCCACGAGUCUGGCUCUGGAGAAAUGCAAUUGAAAUCUGUUUCCUGCAAGCCAAGCUCACACAAUGAUUUUGCAUCCUGUGAGCUAGGCUCCGGAGGUGGUACAGGCAACUAAACACUAGGAUGCUGCAUCCCGUGAGCCUGGUUAAGGCAUAUGCACCCAACCAAAUAAGUCCAUAGUGUCUAAAUGACAUGUUAGCCGAAGAGUAUGGGCAUAUCUGUGCUUCAGAUCAUUUAUUUGUCUAGUGUGAUGUCUAUCAACAGAAAUGUGUAAUGUGUGUGAAAGCCAGCCUGCUUUCAUGUUCUAUAAAUUCAAGUUGCAUCUUACAAGGUACAACUACUCUAUGGAUAGUUGAAUCAUUUUAAUUUAUUGCCCAUUGAGUGCAGCGUUCCUUUUGGUUCAUUAGUUGGUAAUUGUAGCCCUAUGAAAGACAUGUUCAUAGUUCCAAGGGCAGUGAAUAGAAGUGAUUAUGUUUCUGUCUUCAGUUCCCAUAAUGGUGAAUUUCAAUGUCUAUAUUUGUAAAUUUUAAUGUUGGGAGUCUCAAAAUGUACUGAUUUCUAUAUGUUAAUUGAAUUGCUAGCAUACUGGUGGGUUCUUAUGGUGAACAAUAGGGCAAACCCUACUGAAAUCAUGCUUUUGUUAACUGAAUCCUGUGUCCUUUAUCAUACAGGUAAAAAAAUCGUCAUGAGGACUUUUCACGGUCAUAAUGUUGAAGUGCAUAUUAUUGAUGACGAUGAUGAUGGAAGACACACUAAAGCAGCUUGUCCUUUACAAUCCUGAUAUCACACAUGACAAACAAAGGGUAGUUGAAGUUACUGAGCCCAUAGAUCACUAUACAUCACUGCAACAAAGUUCCAAGAAUCCAAGAUAUGGAUAUGGCACGGUUCUACCUUCUAUUGGUGCUUAUACUGUGCAGUGUGCCUACUGCUACAAAUGGAGGGUCGUUCCAACAAAAGAAAAAAUGAAGAGCUACAAAAGGAGCUUUUUGUAUGCGCAAGUUCUCAUGGAUGGAACCGUGUUUUAUCAUGUGAUGACCCAGAAGAUAUGUCACAAGAUGGAAGUAGGGCGUGGGCAACUGAUAAGCCAAACAUUGUUCAACCUCCUCCUGACUGGGACAGGGAGGUCAGAAUCAGGGGGGCUUCCAGCAAGUUCGCAGAUGUGUAUUACACUUCUCCAUCUGGAAAAAAAGUUGAGGUCGUUCGUUGAAAUCAGGAGGUAGUUGGCAGAGAACCCAUACUACAUUAGACAAGGGGUUAGCUUAUCUCAGUUUUCAUUUGCUACUCCCAAACCUCUGCAUGAAGACUAUGUUCAAAAGCGUACAUUUGGAGAAGCUCAUGAAGUACCAGAGCUUCCUGAGGCAGCACAAGUUGAUCCACUGUGUUGGGCAGCACCUCAGAGAACUGCUCGGUGAACCUGGCGCUUCAACUUCGGAUCCUGUUUCACAGAACUGUGAAGCAAGUGUCGUCGAGGAAGUGCCGAAGGACUCCACCACCAGCAACUUGUUCAUUCCAAGAACAAUCUGGAGGGCACUCGAACGGCAUUGAGCAUGUGCUGUUGCGAACUCUGGGGCAGUAGCUUCCUCGCUGUUGGCCUGCUCUUGUUUCGGUGUCAUUUUGCUGCACCUGUGCUCAAAAGGUCAUCAACUUAGUGAGUCUAUGAUGCGGUUGAUCAGAUGAGCUAAGCAUCGAAUCUUGGUAAUGUAGAUAUGGCAGCUGGUAUGUAUGAGAGACCGUGCAGAAUGUUUGGUGUAUUUCCAUGCUAAAUCGAUAUCGUAGGGCUACUGCUACUACUGUAACUUGAAGGCUGGAGCAGACCAUAUUGUAUCUCCCGAAGCUUCUAGAUGUUCCGGUUUCUGUUCUAACUGUUUGGGCUGCCAGAGCUUCUGGAUGGUUUGGUUGUUGUGCUACAUAGUGCUACUUACAGCUUCUCUAAUCGAGGUCGGUCGCUACUGCUGAU
Long non-coding RNA from Phragmites australis (common reed), 4081 nucleotides. RefSeq lists it as uncharacterized. Lineage: Eukaryota; Viridiplantae; Streptophyta; Magnoliopsida; Poales; Poaceae. The transcript has 4 exons. The record is from RefSeq and is a predicted model, not a curated record.